RNAcentral lists this non-coding RNA (19 nucleotides) under Arabidopsis thaliana (thale cress). The record is from RNAcentral. Lineage: Eukaryota; Viridiplantae; Streptophyta; Magnoliopsida; Brassicales; Brassicaceae. RNAcentral also lists the same sequence under 1 other name.
UAAGGAGUGUGUAACAACU